The sequence is a transfer RNA, 128 nucleotides long. It matches the Rfam family "tRNA". Rfam says of the family: Transfer RNA (tRNA) molecules are approximately 80 nucleotides in length. Their secondary structure includes four short double-helical elements and three loops (D, anti-codon, and T loops). Further hydrogen bonds mediate the characteristic L-shaped molecular structure. tRNAs have two regions of fundamental functional importance: the anti-codon, which is responsible for specific mRNA codon recognition, and the 3' end, to which the tRNAs corresponding amino acid is attached (by aminoacyl-tRNA synthetases). tRNAs cope with the degeneracy of the genetic code in two manners: having more than one tRNA (with a specific anti-codon) for a particular amino acid; and 'wobble' base-pairing, i.e. permitting non-standard base-pairing at the 3rd anti-codon position.
GAGGGACUGGCAGAAGGGUAAUGCGUAGCUCUCCUACUGAUUGGACAAUGGUUUCCCUCUUUGAAAAAAGAGGGAAGUUCCGGGACCAAGCUAAGCUAAGAUUGUGGGUUCGAGUCCCACGUUCCUCG